AUGCACAUGGAUUUUUGGAUAAGUGUCAGAGAAUGCUCCGUACAACAGGUAUUCUAGAGACUAGUGGUGUCUCGUUAACUAUUUUUCAGUUCUUUGGAGCUGCCUUCAGUUGUGGAGGCUUAUAAGAGACGUAGGCUUGUCGGUACAGCACCAUUACCUAGUAGGAGUUCAUCGUUCUCUUCUUGGAGAAGUUCAUGUCGCAGUCUCGCAAAAAGGAGCUGUGUAGAUAGUUUGAGCAGUUAUGUCAGGAUGAUAUUUCCGUGACGCAGUACAAGAUGAGGUUUUCUAAGUUAGACUAUCAUGCAGUUUGGUUAGUUCCCACUGAUAGGGAAAGGAUCAGGAGGUUCAUUGAUAGACUCACAUUUCAGUUGCGGGUGCUUAUGACUAGAGAGAGGGUAUCCAGUGCUACUUUCAAUGAGGUUGUUGACAUUGCUCGACAGAUAGAGUUGGUCCGCAGCCAGGAGCGGGUUGAGAGGGAGGCCAAGAGGUCUCGUGGAUCAGGUGGUUUUAGUGGUGUUCCUUUUGGAGGUCAGUUAUACCAUGAUAGGGGUCGUCCUUACAGGCAUGCUCCGACGGCUCGCGCAGUUCGCCGUGGUGCAUCAUCUAGCCAUGGUUCUCACAGUUCUCAUCAGGGUCACUCAUCUCUCAGUGCCCUUCUAGCUUAGAGUUCGUUUCAUGCACCAUCAGCUCAGGGUUCAUCCAUGUCGGGGCGUUCUAGCAGUUAUCUCGAGGCUCCCUUCAGUCCCCAUCGCCAUUUGCAAGGAGAGGUUGCUUUGAGUGUGGAGAUAUGGGUCAUAUCAAGAGGCAUUGUCCCCGCCUCUUAUGAGGUUCAGCUCAGCAGAGGAGUCAGCCUACGACUUCAACACCAGUUACUUCACCACCCACCCAGCCAGUUCGGGGUGUAGCUCAGUCAGCUAGGGGCUGCCCUAAAGGAGGAGGCCAAUUAGGUGGCGGCCAGGCCCGAUUCUAUGCACUCCCUACCAGACCAGAUGCUAUUGCUUCAAACACCGUGAUCACAGGACGUUUGGAGACUGAUUUGAGAGGCAAAUGCAUUGUAGAGUAGAGUUUUGCCCGGAUUGAGAUCCAGGUGCUUCGGGUCACGGAGGUUGUUGAUCGAGGAAUUAGGAUUUGGAGACUAUCGAGGUAGCUACAUGGCGUUUGCAGGCCUUGACUCUCCUUCAUUAUCUCUAUCUGUACUUCAGUUUUUAUUCCUUAGACAUUGUUGUAUACUAUAUUCCGGUAUAGAUGCUUAUAUACUCUGUGACACCCCGGUUUUGGGAUAGAUUGUAUCGUAUUCCAGAUUAUUUCUGUUUCAA
Nicotiana tabacum (common tobacco) is the source of this 1316-nucleotide non-coding RNA. The record is from RefSeq and is a predicted model, not a curated record. Lineage: Eukaryota; Viridiplantae; Streptophyta; Magnoliopsida; Solanales; Solanaceae.